GCGGAAGUGGCGCAAUGGCAGACGCGGCGGUCUGAGAGGCCGUUUGUUGUGGGUUCAAGUCCCGCCUUCCGCACCA
Molecule: transfer RNA, 76 nt
Filed under: Pseudomonadota bacterium
Lineage: Bacteria; Pseudomonadati; Pseudomonadota
Description: Proteobacteria bacterium (sediment metagenome) tRNA-Leu
Rfam family: tRNA
About the family: Transfer RNA (tRNA) molecules are approximately 80 nucleotides in length. Their secondary structure includes four short double-helical elements and three loops (D, anti-codon, and T loops). Further hydrogen bonds mediate the characteristic L-shaped molecular structure. tRNAs have two regions of fundamental functional importance: the anti-codon, which is responsible for specific mRNA codon recognition, and the 3' end, to which the tRNAs corresponding amino acid is attached (by aminoacyl-tRNA synthetases). tRNAs cope with the degeneracy of the genetic code in two manners: having more than one tRNA (with a specific anti-codon) for a particular amino acid; and 'wobble' base-pairing, i.e. permitting non-standard base-pairing at the 3rd anti-codon position.
Source: RNAcentral